Molecule: ribosomal RNA, 432 nt
Filed under: uncultured bacterium
Lineage: Bacteria
Description: partial 16S ribosomal RNA
Rfam family: Bacterial small subunit ribosomal RNA
Source: RNAcentral
AACGAACGCUGGCGGCAUGCCUAACACAUGCAAGUCGAACGAGACCUUCGGGUCUAGUGGCGCACGGGUGCGUAACGCGUGGGAACCUGCCCUUAGGUUCGGAAUAACUCCCCGAAAGGGGUGCUAAUACCGGAUAAUGUCUUCGGACCAAAGAUUUAUCGCCUUUGGAUGGGCCCGCGUUGGAUUAGCUAGUUGGUAGGGUAAAAGCCUACCAAGGCGACGAUCCAUAGCUGGUCUGAGAGGAUGAUCAGCCACACUGGGACUGAGACACGGCCCAGACUCCUACGGGAGGCAGCAGUGGGGAAUAUUAGACAAUGGGCGAAAGCCUGAUCCAGCAAUGCCGCGUGAGUGAUGAAGGCCUUAGGGUUGUAAAGCUCUUUUACCCGGGAUGAUAAUGACAGUACCGGGAGAAUAAGCUCCGGCUAACUCCGU